RNAcentral lists this ribosomal RNA (461 nucleotides) under uncultured bacterium. RNAcentral describes it as "partial 16S ribosomal RNA". It matches the Rfam family "Bacterial small subunit ribosomal RNA", at positions 338 to 795 of the family's 1533-position model. The record is from RNAcentral.
CCUACGGGGGGCAGCAGUGAGGAAUAUUGGUCAAUGGGCGGAAGCCUGAACCAGCCAAGUAGCGUGCAGGAUGACGGCCCUACGGGUUGUAAACUGCUUUUAUACGGGAAUAACGCGCCUUACGUGUACGGCUUUGCAUGUACCGUAUGAAUAAGGACCGGCUAACUCCGUGCCAGCAGCCGCGGUAAUACGGGAGAUGCAAGCGUUAUCCGGAUUUAUUGGGUUUAAAGGGUGCGUAGGUGGUGAGGUAAGUCAGCGGUGAAAUGCCCCCGCUCAACGGUGUGAAGUGCCAUUGAUACUGCCUGGCUGGAAUACGGAUGCGGUGGGAGGAAUGUGUGGUGUAGCGGUGAAAUGCAUAGAUAUCACACAGAACACCGAUUGCGAAGGCAUCUCACGAAUCCGCAAUUGACGCUGAUGCACGAAAGCGUGGGUAUCAAACAGGAUUAGAUACCCUAGUAGUC